GAGUUCCAGAAUUGUGCUUAAGGAUUGUUCUUCAUUCCUCUGAUCAGAGCCACUUAGGGAAUUCUUAAAGAAUCUUCAACCUGAGGGAGAAAUCAACUUUCCCCAUUUUUAUGGCAAAGUCUACGAUCUCCUGAUGGAGGAAAAUGAAGACGAAACAUUAAUGUUGAAAGCAGCAUCAGCCGCUGAGAUCUGCUGUUUCAUGAAGCAACAGGAUUUGAAAAUCUGCACAUCUGGGAGCUGUAAGGAGUUCUUGUAUCUGCUAUAGCCAAGUC
RNAcentral lists this long non-coding RNA (272 nucleotides) under Phascolarctos cinereus (koala). RNAcentral's name for it is "lncRNA (ENSPCIG00000024750.2)". Lineage: Eukaryota; Metazoa; Chordata; Mammalia; Diprotodontia; Phascolarctidae. The record is from RNAcentral.